This is a non-coding RNA of Zonotrichia albicollis (white-throated sparrow), 6743 nucleotides long. Lineage: Eukaryota; Metazoa; Chordata; Aves; Passeriformes; Passerellidae. The record is from RefSeq and is a predicted model, not a curated record.
GAAAAGAGGUCACUGAAGAAAUACUGCAACCUACAGCAAGAAUGGGAGGAGGGUUGAGGUAUCUGAAGAACAGGAGCUGUUGACAAGGAAAACUGAAGGCUUUUUAAAGGAAAGAGAAAUUGCGUCAAGGAAUUCUGUCUUUUUCAUCACAGAUGCAGACCCAGCUAAAGGAAGAAGAUGACAGUGGUUAUAUCCAGCUAAGGAAAAUCUGUGAACUAUGCUGCCUGCAGAGCAAAGCACCAAAGCAUGCAACUGGGGGAAACGAAUGAAAGAAAAGACAAGUUUCCUGUCCCUCCUUCUAACUUCAAUGAAUCCUUCAUGUUGGGAAGUAUCACGUUUCUUGAACCAGCAGAACUGGAAUGCUGAAAGCUUGUGAGAGGAAGCUUUAGCUGAACACAGACCAAGAUGCUGGGCCCAGUCCUCUUCUACCAUAAAUGGAUGGAGCCCCAUCCAUGAAAAGUGUGCCAUUUGAUAGUAUUUACACUUUUUCCAUGGUACUAACAAGCCUCUUUUCCAGCUGCAAACUUUUGCUUUGUUCUCUGACUCUGAUUUUCUAAGAGCUGUAUAUUUGCUUAGUAAUAUUUACUAAGGGAUUCAGUGCCCAAAAAACUUUGAUGCAUUUAUCACACUCCCUGCUUUUGGCUCUAAUUCUCCUCUAAUGCUUUUAAUCAAUGUGAAAUAAUGUGUGAUGGUAGUGGCAGUGUCUUUGGUGAAAGCUGCAGGAGAAUCAGGCCACACAUAUUCUUGUUAUUUAUACACCCAGAAGUUUCUGCUCUGAGAGUGAUUAUAGGAGUGUCAGCACCAAAAGUGACUUUGGCAACAGGACUACUUCCCCAACAGACUUAUCUUGCCUUGCCAUCAAGAAGCCCUCCUCAGAUAUGCCCAAGCUUCCUUGGUUUUUGUUGGUUGUGUGGCCUACAUGGCAUGUCCUUUAGCUCAGCCUCGUGCUUCCUGUGUCUGGACUAAGUCAAACAGAAGGUCCAUCCAGAUGGUUUGUGUUCAAAGUGCUGGCACCAGAGAGAUAUGUGAAUGCCCAGAUCAGGCCACCACUUCACACAGUAGCCACAAUGGCAAAUCAUGGGAUUCAGUAGGAACUGUAAAGAUCUUGGGGAACAAAAGAGGGCCUGGGAGAUUGGAGCCUUCCCUGCAGCAACCAAUGAGUUGUGUGUAGUGCCUUUCAGAAGAGUGAUUUUGAUAAGAGGAAUAGCUCAGGCUGUUGAAAGUGGUCUUCCUAGGCUUCUUCAAGGAGGAAUUACUAAUUUAUCAGUUGAUAUAAAUACUGAAUACAUAAUAUAAAUACAUAAAAGAAAUACUGAAUACAUUAUAUAAAUACAUAAUAUAAAUACAUAAAAUACUGGUUUAAUUAGUUGACUGGCUUCUGCAUCAUAUCAUUGAUUCAGAUGAUGAAGAUCUUAAUUAAGGCUAAGGUCUAUCACUGCAUGCAGCAGUCACUUUCUCUGUCUACUUCCUGGGGAUCUUUCAGCUUCAGGAAGUGAUAAACAAUAAAAAACCCAUUUUGUAGAGUUUCUGAUGAGUUGUGUGGGCCAGUCAAAAGGGAACAAAUACUUCCGAGAAGUCUUUGAAUGACUAUGAGUGAGUCUCUGGUUAUCAUGCAACUGGAAAGAAAUAAUAUCCUUUAUAACAUUUCAGUUUUUUCAAUUGCUCAUUGUUGCUUGUGAUUCUGGUUGCCAGGAUUUAAUGACCAUAAAUCUUCAUGUGAAAGCAAUGACUUGUAUUUUCAUUUAUGUAAGAUGUGUUAAUAUGCAUUAAGAUAUGGGAAUCAAAUCCCAGAAUAGACCAGACUUCAAAGGACAUCUUAAUGCAAUCUGAACAGAACAUUUGCAGUUCUAGCUAUAGUCCAAAUCCUACUGGCUCAGACUUCUUUCCAUGAUUCUUUGCAGAUUUAAUCUGUAGGCAGCUUAGGCUGGCUGGUCCAUAAUUUCUUAAAAGCAAAUCUUCAAUCACAACUUUAGAUAUCUCCAGGAAUAUCAGUUUUAACACAGAAAAAUCUUCAUGUAAAAGAUCUUGUCACUGUGGCAGAAUAGUAAAGAGAAGGCCCUUGGCCAGGCUUGAGUGAUUUUGUGGAUCAUUAUGAUUAGAUUUUUGCUGCUACUAUAUCCAACUAGUGCCUAUGCUGUAUCUAAAUAACAGCUCUAUCAAGCAUUAGAAAGGAUUUUAGUAGGUUGUUGUGUCACAAGCUUCACAGAGACCCCUUUCUUUCUAAAUUUCACAAAGAUGCCUAGGUGUGGUUAGAUCCAUUUAGUCUCAGUUUUGAUCAACAACUUAUGUUUUAAGGGUUAUAAUAUAAGAAGAUUCAGCUAGAAAUGUAAAGGUUUAAAGUUUUUGGCCUUGCAGAUUGGCAAUUACAAAACAACCAAGCAUCUACGUAACUACUUUAGGAUUUUAUCUCCCCUAUUUGAUCAGAUUUAGUGCUUUUUACUCUCCAGUCCAGAAAUUAGUGUUCCCACUUUUGUGCUGGACAUACACUGCUGAUGUCCCUGCCAGAGAUGGGGAUCUAUCCAGACAGCUCAUCUUGAAAUAUUCACCUGGUGUUCUUAUCUCGGGGCAAACCACAUGGCCCAUCAGACAGGGAAAGUGUGUGUGUACAUGAGGAUACAUGCAAAGACACAACUUUCAUCACCACCACAGUCAUUCUUUGUCCUGUCUGCAACUUCUUAUGCAUUCAGUGUUGCAGCAUGAAAUCAUUUGUCCUGAUUGCUUAGUCAGCCUCCAAUACAAUAUAACUGGUUAUGCCUAUAGCUGAUAUCCUGCUGUUACUUUAACUUCAGCAGUAAGAUGAAAAUGCCACAACUGCAUUUCAUUUUCUGGAAAACAUGGUUCACUUGUGAUCAUUGAGUUCUUGCCAUCAUUUGAGUGGUUUAACUGAAAAAAUUAAUUUUAACCAAGAGAUUUGUGUCCUUAUGUGUACUAACUAAAUACACAUUAAGACUCCAUCCUAGGUAAUCGUGUGCUAUCCCAUAGCUUUAUUUUCAUAAUCAUUCAGUGUGUUAUGAGAAAAAGAAAAGAAGGUGCUUCAGAAAACUUGUGGCUUACUGAGGGAGCAGUGCUUAUUCUCCAUGAGUUACAAUUCACUCUUGAAACAUUCAAGUAAAAUCUGCUGCUUGAAAUCUGGUGGGAACUCCAGUCUGGUCCCCUGGAAUUCUAAGUAUAAUGCUGACCCAUGCUCUUCAUAAAGUAGAGGGCAGCAAUAUGAUGAUAAGCUCUAUGUGAAACUGAAUAUCAUCAGCUGAGUCACACAUGCCCUGCUGCUGCCUCUGGGCAACCUGCUCCACCCGAGUCAUGCUGCUUCUGCUAGGUAUCAUAAUCAGCUAUGUUAAGGUUCCAAAUAUAUAAAUAUAUAUCUGAGACACUUUGCAGUGAGUGCCAUCUAUGCUUUGAUCUAUCCUUGAGCGUUCAAAUAUGUUGGAAAAUCUGGAAUAACAGGCUGCAUUGUCUACAAAUGUUACCUACGAACAUAGUGAAACAUAAUGGAAGAAACAAAAAACCCUAUCACUGAGCUGGGAGUGGUGGAACCUUGCCUAUGCUUCACCUCCACCCUCAAUUAAAAAAUUAUCUCAGGCACAGCAGCAUUCAUGGCUUCCUGGCUUUUGACACUGGAACUAGUCAUUUGCAAUGAUUUCUAGGAAGGUUGAUGAGCACACUGUUGUAUUACCAAUUCUUUCCACAAACCUUUGGACCACUAAAUUUCCACAGCAAUUCUCUGGGAUUGGGUUGCUUCACCAUGGACUCAUCAUCAUCAUCUUGUCCAGGCACUGCAUCAGUCAUAAAUGGAGCUGCCAUAAGGUUUGCAUACACUGUGUAAUGAAGAGGGCUGGCAUCAGUACAUUGUACAAUGGCCCUUACGAUAUUCUAGCAUUAAAACUACAGGAAAACAGCUGCCUGUUAGAGUAAAUAACCUGUACCAUUUGGAUCUUUGCAUUAUGCUCUAACAGAAUCUUCUGGCUUCUUCUUGUCCAUUCUGACGAUCAUAUUCUCUGGUCUCUUCACCCAAGUAACAAGCAAUAGGAGAACAAGAGGAGAUGGCCUCAAGUUGUGCCAGGGGAGGCACAACUGCCAUCCAUGCUGGCAGUGCAAAGCAAUGAGAACUAUUAGCAUGGGAUCCACUUAAGUAUCUUAAAUAUCUGCCUAAGGUGAAGAACAGUGUCUCGAUAGUUUGUGUUAGUUAGACUGACUAGAUGCCCAUUGACUCUAAGAACAAUUUACAGUGAUUAACUCCUGUGUAAAUGUCCACACUGUACCUUUCAACCAUCAGGCAAAUGGUGUUCCUAAUACACAAAGUAGCUGAUUCCACCUUAAUUUAUUGAGGUUUCAGGGGAAACUUAGAGAAUCCAAGUAUUUGUAUAAAAUAGCUCUUAUUUUGCUUGGUAGUCCUACUUCUGACCUACUUUACUUCUUCUACUGCUGCCAUUGCUGCUUUCCAUUGGAGUGACAUGGAACAUAUGUGUUAGGGCACAUAGAACAGAACAGGGCACAUUACUUCUCCCAGGAAACUUGGUUCUGGUUUCCCAAGGCUGUGCUCUCCUUAGGCAUCAGCGGUGCAUCAAUUGCAGAAAGCACUCAGCAUGCCUUAAGAGCAAAUUAUUUUGACUUAGGUGUCUUCCAUGCAGUUUGAAUGCUCUUGUCCCAGGCUUUAGCUGUGAAGGAAGGACAGUUGUGACACUGGGCUUUGUGUUGGAACAUCAAGUAAAGAAAGUACUCCCAUUUUUAUUACCCCAAAUGAAGGAUUCUCUUUCCUCUCUCCUAGCUGCUACUCAGAUUUUCGAAGAAGAAAAGGCUAGCACAUUUUUUGGCACAGAAACUCUUCCAGAUUGUGUCUUAUUUCUUUGAACUAUGCAGGCUAAGAUAAUGAUAUAAGGAUAAUUAUAUUUCAUGCUUCAAACUGAAGUUGAUAGGAGAGAAAUAUCCUUCUGUGUGGAGCUUCUACAUCAUGUUUAAAACAUCUGUUAUUAGCUGAAGCCAGAAAGACCUAUGCAUGUACUUAAUGAAUAUAUUUAAAGAAUAGAGAAAACAACCAGCAUUAAAAAUUUUUUAAAAACUCUUUUUCCCCUUACAUUAGCUAAUCUGAUAUUUCAGUUGCAUCAACAGUGAGAUUGUCAAUGAUAUAUUCCAUACACCUGAAAAGUAAUUCACUAGCAGCUUCAAAACAUGCAGCUUCCAGAAAAAGAUAAUAGUAAAAUUAUCUUUAUACACAAAAGUUCUUACCACAUGAAAAAAAAAAGCUUAAAGAUAAGUAAAGAAUGCUUCUUUAGAAACAAGUUCACCAAAAAGCAAAGAAAACCCAUUGAUUUGCUACUCUAAUAAUUCAACUCCGCAUGCAGCAGAGAUUAGGUCUAGAAAUCAAGAGGCUGUUUCCUGAGGGCUGCUGAGCUCUGUCGCCAAGGGACAUCAUGUGAGGCUUUCUAUAACCUCUCUACAGCCCCUGUCACUAUUCAGGAAGCUGAGUAGUGAUGUAUUGAAGGCUGCUUCAAAAUUAGUUCUUAGAUUGCUGCAAAGGGCCUGGGUUGCCCCUCUUUUAGGUUUUGCCCAUUUUAAAACCAUACUGAGUGAACAUAGGUCAUGCAAAUGAAAAAAUAUUAAUAAGGAAACUUCUUGGGACUUAGAAGAAGGCUUCUUCUGAGAUCUUUGUUGCUGGGAAGGGAGCUGGAGGAAGAGCACUCCAGUAAUGCAACAGUAUGCAGUGAGGCAUGGCUGGCAUUUGCCUGUCUGCUGGAAUAUGAAGCAGCAGGACUUCUGUGUGACAACUGGCAGGACGAGUGAGCAAAAUGCCUUGUGAAAUAAAUGAAAGCCAUCUCCUGAAAUGAAGAAUGGUGGUGGACUGAGAAUGAUUGUGCUCACACAAAAAAUCUGAGAUGUGAAUCCUUCCUCUUUUAUCAUUUCACCUAUAAUGCUCUUGGUGUAGAUGCUUUCAUAAGAGGGAAGUGGAAUGCAAUUGAAAACCUUAUGUUAUCAAAUUAAUACCUCUGGAAGAAGAAGAAGGAAUUCCUUUGUUGCCUUCAUUUAGCCUCCAGUGUAGAUUUUGUAAAAUUCUAGAAAUUUUGCUUUCCUUCUUGUCCAUUUAACUUAAAGAAUAAUUGAAUAACUCCUUAUCUUUUUUUCUUUCCAGCACUAACUAGUUUUGAUACUUUACAUUUGAAUCAUUGUGAGGUCUUGAAGGUGUGACAAAUACAUCAAUAAAUAAAAAGCUAUAACUUUGGAGUUGGUUCCAAAUUUGUGAUUUGUGAAAAGGGACAGAAUAUCAAGACCACCAGACUCUGGUAAGGAUAACUCUUUCACACUAUUAGGGUAAUAAAGGGCUGCAGAACAUAAAGUGGUGCCAUUUGGAAAGGGGCUGGGGCAGCAUCUGACAGGAUAUUUGACAAAGCAGUUUGUUUGUACGUCUCUUGCUGUACACAACAUGAAGCUGAGCACUGGCAGAAACUGUCUGAGUGAAAGGAUGUUAUUAGGUCCCCCUUGCCUCUGUGACUGGCAACGUGACUGUAGCUGACUGAUUAGUGAAAUUGUUGAUCAUCAUUUUUAGUCUUGAAAUUGCAGGGCUGUGGUUUUUAUUUUGUUUUGCAUUGUUGUUAGAGAACAGGAUAAUAAUUCAUGAUGUGACCAUAUAGGCAAUAAUAAAAAAUCCCAUAAAACAAAAACCUUUGCAAAGCAGUUGGUAUUCAGUUCUCCGACAGGCAGAAUUUAGAAUAAAAGGUUGCUAACAUUUUGGCAGUGUUUUCCUCAGGCUU